UCCGGCUUAUCACCGGCAGUCCCAUUAGAGUGCCCGGCAUAACCCGCUGGUAACUAGGGACGAGGGUUGCGCUCGUUGCGGGACUUAACCCAACAUCUCACGACACGAGCUGACGACAGCCAUGCACCACCUGUGAAGGUGCCCCGAAGGGAGACCGUGUUUCCACGGCUGUCACCUACAUGUCAAGCCCAGGUAAGGUUCUUCGCGUUGCGUCGAAUUGAACCACAUGCUCCGCUGCUUGUGCGGGUCCCCGUCAAUUCCUUUGAGUUUUAACCUUGCGGCCGUACUCCCCAGGCGGUCAACUUCACGCGUUAGCUUCGUUACCAAGGGAAUCAAUCCCCCGACAACCAGUUGACAUAGUUUAGGGCGUGGACUAC
RNAcentral lists this unclassified non-coding RNA (377 nucleotides) under uncultured bacterium. Its description in RNAcentral is "contains 16S-23S intergenic spacer region". The record is from RNAcentral.